This 233-nucleotide ribosomal RNA is filed under the name uncultured bacterium. RNAcentral's name for it is "partial 16S ribosomal RNA". It matches the Rfam family "Bacterial small subunit ribosomal RNA", at positions 333 to 562 of the family's 1533-position model. The record is from RNAcentral.
AAUAUCCUACGGGACGCAGCAGUGAGGAAUAUUGGUCAAUGGGCUUACGCCUGAACCAGCCAAGUCGCGUGAGGGAAGACUGCCCUAUGGGUUGUAAACCUCUUUUGUCAGGGAGCAAUUGGCGCUACGUGUAGCGUUAUCGAGAGUACCUGAAGAAAAAGCAUCGGCUAACUCCGUGCCAGCAGCCGCGGUAAUACGGAGGAUGCGAGCGUUAUCCGGAUUUAUUGGGUUUA